GACAGAGGUGCCAAGCGUUAGGCGGAAUCACUGGGCUUAAAGCGUGUGUAGGCGGGCGAUCAAGCACCUUGUGAAAUCCCACGGCUCAACCGUGGAACUGCUGGGUAUACUGGUUGUCUUGAGCCAGCUAGGGGCGAGCGGAACAGACGGUGGAGCGGUGAAAUGCGUAGAUAUCGUCUGGAACGCCGAAGGUGAAAACAGCUCGCUGGGGCUGCGCUGACGCUGAGACACGAAAGCCAGGGGAGCGAACGGG
This 253-nucleotide ribosomal RNA is filed under the name uncultured bacterium. Its description in RNAcentral is "partial 16S ribosomal RNA". It matches the Rfam family "Bacterial small subunit ribosomal RNA", at positions 524 to 776 of the family's 1533-position model. The record is from RNAcentral.